UUUAAACAUUUUCUUGGAGACGUGUAUCCAACCACGUCCAACAGAGUAUUUUGAAAAUAUAUAUUUUUAGUACCAGUAGUUUCCCACCUAUACUGAUCUAAUUUCUUAAUGAAUAACUACAUUAGGAUCAAGACGAAGUUGACUUUUAUUUUUUAUCCAGGAGGCAAGGAUGGAAAGCAACGAAAACAGAAAUGAGAGCGAGAAAGACGACGAGGCUAUUGAAUUGAAUUACAGAAUUGAUGAUAAUCCACCCUGGUAUCUCUCUUUGUUGUUAGGAUUUCAG
Molecule: non-coding RNA, 283 nt
Organism: Paramuricea clavata
Lineage: Eukaryota; Metazoa; Cnidaria; Anthozoa; Malacalcyonacea; Plexauridae
Source: the annotation of a GenBank genome assembly